GCCGAGGUAUGUCUUCAACAAGUAAUUUCCUAAAUUAUCUGUAUGUCUGGUUUGAAGAAACUGCCGGUCGUCCAGAUAUGGAGGAACCAGAUAAAACAAGUGGACCAUGCUCUUUUAUUAAAGAGUAAAGAAAGAUUAUUGAAAAAACAAAACAUAUAACUUGGCAACUUAGUAUUCUAAAAUAAAAAAGAUUUGUUUGCUUGGCCCACACAAGAUUUUUACAAUGCCUU
Molecule: non-coding RNA, 230 nt
Organism: Pelobates cultripes (western spadefoot toad)
Lineage: Eukaryota; Metazoa; Chordata; Amphibia; Anura; Pelobatidae
Source: the annotation of a GenBank genome assembly